RNAcentral lists this long non-coding RNA (2409 nucleotides) under Octopus vulgaris (common octopus). The record is from RNAcentral. Lineage: Eukaryota; Metazoa; Mollusca; Cephalopoda; Octopoda; Octopodidae.
CACUGCCAGAUCUGACUGGCCUGGUGCAGCCUUCGAGCUUGCCAGACCCCAGUUAAACCGUCCAACCCAUGCUAGCAUGGAAAGCGGACGUUAAACGAUGAUGAUGAUGAUGAUGUUUACUACGGUGAUGAUACCGUUGAAGAAAUAGAGGGGAGACCUGACUAUUAGUCUUUCUGGAACACAAACAAGAGUGACUCAGCUAUAGUCCUGACUAGUUUGGCAGGUCCUUAUUGUAAAAAUCUAUCAUUUGCUUCCAGACGUACCUGCUAUAUGGCUUUGGUUCUUUUACUCCUUUUUUCACACAUUUCAAGCAGUUGACUGUAACCAUGCUGGAGCACUGCCUCAAAGGGUUUUUUUUUUUUUUUUUUAAGUCGAGGAAUUAAGACCCCAGAACUUAUUCUUUGCAAGCCUAGUAGUUAUUCAAUCGGUUUCUUUUGCCAAACUGCCGAACAGGGACAUAAACACACCUAGCAAUAUGGGAACACACACACACACAUCAUCAUCAUUGUUUAGCGUCCGUUUUCCAUGCUAGCAUGGGUUGGACGGUUCUACUGGAGUCUGUGAAGCCAGAAGGCUUCAUCAGGCCCAGUCAAAUCUGGCAGUGUUUCUACGGCUGGAUGCCCUUCCUAACACAAAUACACACACACACACACACACACACACGAUGGGGUCGAUUUGCUGGUGCUCCAGCAUGGACACAGUCAAAUAACUGAAACAAGUAAGAGAAUAAUAGAAUAUAUUUUGGCAAAGCAUAAACACAUACUAUGUGUGGGUUUCCCACACAAUGCCCGUCCACAUGUUGACUACAAUGCAUUUCUCAACCCAAGGAACUUGCUCAAGCUGCCAUGCAAUGCAAUGGAAUAAAAUUCACCCCAAACCACUUCGAGUUUGGAAGCAAGCUUCUUAGCCAUACAGUCAUAUCUGUGUUCAUGUAUAUUUAAUGGAAGGAAGAGUCGAACCAGCCUCUUCCUGUUUUGAGUUUCUCUUGUAGGCACAUAGGAUCUACAACCAAGUUAUGACUGGAACACACACACACACACACACACAUAUAACUUUCCGGACAAUCCAAUAUAUAUAACAUUGAGACUCUUUUCUUCCUUAUCAAGCGUUAAGCCUCAUCCUUGCAAUAGAUAUGUAUAGGUGCAUGCCGGGCGAAACGUGUAGCUGUAAUUCGUCUGCCGUUGCGUUCUGGGUUCAAAUUCCACCGAGGUCGACUUUGCCUUUCAUCCUUUCGGGGUCGAUUAAAUAAGUACCAGUUAUGCACUGGGGUUGGCGUAAUUGACUUAAUCCCUUUGUCUGUCCUUGUUUGUCCCCUCUGUGUUUAGCCCCUUGUGGGCAGUAAAGAAAUAGGUAUUUCGUCUGCUGCUACUUUCUGAGUUCAAAUUCCGCUGAGGUCGACUUUGCCUUUCAUCCUUUCGGGUUCGAUUAAAUAAGUUCCAGUUACGCACUGGGGUUGGCGUAAUUGACUUAAUCCCUUUGUCUGUCCUUGUUUGUCCCCUCUGUGUUUAGCCCCUUGUGGGUAGUAAAGAAAUAGGUAUUUCGUCUGCUGCUACGUUCUGAGUUCAAAUUCCGCCGAGGUCGACUUUGCCUUUCAUCCUUUCGGGGUCGAUUAAAUAAGUACCAGUUAAGCACUGGGGUCGAUGUAAUCUACUUAAUCCCUUUGUCUGUCCUUGUUUGUUCCCUCUGUGUUUAGCCCCUUGUGGGCAGUAAAGAAAUAGGUAUUUCGUCUGCUGCUACGUUCUGAGUUCAAAUUCCGCCGAGGUCGACUUUGCCUUUCAUCCUUUCGGGGUCGAUUAAAUAAGUACCAGUUAAGCACUGGGGUCGAUGUAAUCUACUUAAUCCCUUUGUCUGUCCUUGUUUGUUCCCUCUGUGUUUAGCCCCUUGUGGGCAGUAAAGAAAUAGGUAUUUCGUCUGCUGCUACGUUCUGAGUUCAAAUUCCGCCGAGGUCGACUUUGCCUUUCAUCCUUUCGGGGUCGAUUAAAUAAGUACCAGUUAAGCACUGGGGUCGAUGUAAUCGACUCAAUCCCUUUGUCUGUCCUUGUUUGUCCCCUCUGUGUUUAGCCCCUUGUGGGCAAUAAAGAAUUAUAUAUGCAUAGGUGCAAGCAUGCACAAACUUACUUCCGAAGCAAGUGUGUUGAAGAGAGAGAGAAUGAGAGAGAAUUCUGUAAAUAGUGGAGCCAUGUAUAAAGCAUCAGCAUAUGCAAAUACCGAUUGUAGGAUAACUCGGGAUCAAAUAUUAUGAAACUCAAGGCUCUGAUUCCAGAACUGUGGUGUGUGUACAUACGAUAUGAAAAUUCAGGUGACCAAAGUUAAAAAAUGAAAUGCAGGCAUUAUCUUUUUUAUAACAUACUCUAAUAUUACCUAUCUUUUAUAACAUAUUUGUUGAUAAAUAAAACGAUAUUUUACUUA